AUAUUGGACAAUGGGGGCAACCCUGAUCCAGCCAUGCUGCGUGUGUGAAGAAGGUCUUCGGAUUGUAAAGCACCUUAUGUUGGGAGGAAGGGUUUUAGGCUAAUACCCUGCAGUUUUGACGUUACGAACAGAAUAAGCACCGGCUAACUCUGUGCCAGCAGCCGCGGUAAUACAGAGGGUGAAAGCGUUAAUCGGAAUUACUGGUCGUAAAGCGCGCGUAGGUGGUUCAGUAAGAAGGGUGUGAAGUCCCCGGGCUUAACCUGGGAACUGCUUUCAUAACUGCUGAGCUAGAGUACGGUAGAGGGUAGUGGAAUUUCCUGUGUAGCGGUGAAAUGCGUAGAAAUAGGAAGGAACACCAGUGGCGAAGGCGACUACCUGGACUGAUACUGACACUGAGGUGCGAAAGCGUGGGGAGCAAAC
RNAcentral lists this ribosomal RNA (420 nucleotides) under uncultured bacterium. Its description in RNAcentral is "partial 16S ribosomal RNA". It matches the Rfam family "Bacterial small subunit ribosomal RNA", at positions 361 to 773 of the family's 1533-position model. The record is from RNAcentral.